GCGCAGGGGAGGGCGGCGGGCCGCACUAUUGUGAAAGGGGCCCGGGCCGCCGCCAGGGGGGCGGGAAGGGUUCUCCCCCCCCCCCCGCUUCCUCCCCCGGGGGGCCGGCGCAGGGCUGCGGGGCGCGGACCGAGGAGCGCGCGGAAGGAGCGGGCGAAGGACCCGGGACAGAAACGGAGGGACUUCUGCACCCCAGAGGCAGGAAAACCCACGAUGUCUACUGCCCAGGGAGUUGUUGCCACCACCUCUUCAGCAUGAAGGACUACCAACUACCAACAGAUCUUUCCCAACGGCCACCUACCUCCCCAGCUAGUGUUUUCUGCAGGAGGAAGCUCGGGAAGAAAAUCUCUUAAGAGAUUUAUAAUUUAUGCCUUUGUGAGGGGCAGCGGUGCUUUAAGGCCUUCUAUCAGAGCACCUCUUAUCUCCAUGUUCAUUUCCCAUGUGUGUCUUCCCUUUCCAAGCAACUUAGCCAUUUGAGGUCA
This is a long non-coding RNA of Perognathus longimembris pacificus (Pacific pocket mouse), 482 nucleotides long. RefSeq lists it as uncharacterized. The record is from RefSeq and is a predicted model, not a curated record. NCBI's taxonomy places the organism in Eukaryota, Metazoa, Chordata, Mammalia, Rodentia, Heteromyidae. The transcript is spliced from 2 exons.